RNAcentral lists this ribosomal RNA (253 nucleotides) under uncultured bacterium. RNAcentral describes it as "partial 16S ribosomal RNA". It matches the Rfam family "Bacterial small subunit ribosomal RNA", at positions 524 to 776 of the family's 1533-position model. The record is from RNAcentral.
UACGAAGGGGGCUAGCGUUGCUCGGAUUGACUGGGCGUAAAGGGCGCGUAGGCGGUUCGUACAGUCAGACGUGAAAUUCCUGGGCUCAACCUGGGGGCUGCGUUUGAUACGUGCGGACUUGAGUGCGGAAGAGGGUCGUGGAAUUCCCAGUGUAGAGGUGAAAUUCGUAGAUAUUGGGAAGAACACCAGUGGCGAAGGCGCCUUGCUGGGUCUGCACUGACACUGAGGGACGAAAGCUAGGGGAGCGAAAGGG